This 475-nucleotide ribosomal RNA is filed under the name uncultured organism. RNAcentral describes it as "partial 16S ribosomal RNA". It matches the Rfam family "Bacterial small subunit ribosomal RNA", at positions 333 to 799 of the family's 1533-position model. The record is from RNAcentral.
ACACUCCUGCGGGAGGCAGCAGUGGGGAAUUUUGGACAAUGGGCGAAAGCCUGAUCCAGCAAUGCCGCGUGUGUGAAGAAGGCCUUCGGGUUGUAAAGCACUUUUGUCCGGAAAGAAAUCCUUGGCUCUAAUACAGUCGGGGGAUGACGGUACCGGAAGAAUAAGCACCGGCUAACUACGUGCCAGCAGCCGCGGUAAUACGUAGGGUGCGAGCGUUAAUCGGAAUUACUGGGCGUAAAGCGUGCGCAGGCGGUUUGCUAAGACCGAUGUGAAAUCCCCGGGCUCAACCUGGGAACUGCAUUGGUGACUGGCAGGCUAGAGUAUGGCAGAGGGGGGUAGAAUUCCACGUGUAGCAGUGAAAUGCGUAGAGAUGUGGAGGAAUACCGAUGGCGAAGGCAGCCCCCGGGGCCAAUACUGACGCUCAUGCACGAAAGCGCGGGGAGCAAACAGGAUUAGAUACCCCGGUAGUCCCAUG